GGGAGGCGAGUAGAGUGGCGCACGGGUGAGUAACACGUAGGUAAUCUACCUUUGGAUGGGGAAUAACAACCGGAAACGGUUGCUAAUACCGCAUAAUGCAGCGGCACCUAAUGGUGACAGUUGUUAAAGCGGGGGAUCGAAAGACCUCGCGUCUGAAGAGGAGCCUGCGGCGGAUUAGCUAGUUGGUAAGGUAAUGGCUUACCAAGGCGAUGAUCCGUAACCGGCCUGAGAGGGCGGUCGGUCACACUGACACUGACAUACGGGUCAGACUCCUACGGGAGGCAGCAGUCGGGAAUUUUGGGCAAUGGGCGAAAGCCUGACCCAGCAACGCCGCGUGAAGGAUGAAAUCCCUCGGGAUGUAAACUUCGCAAGAACAGGAAGAAUAAGUAAGGGUUAAUAUCUCUUACGAUGACGGUACUGUUUGUAAGCUCCGGCUAACUCCGUGCCAGCAGCCGCGGUAAUACGGGGGGAGCAAGCGUUGUUCGGAUUUACUGGGCGUAAAGGGCGCGUAGGCGGCCACCGCAAGUCGGUUGUGAAAUCUCUGGGCUUAACCCAGAAAGGUCAACCGAUACUGCGGGGCUAGAGUGCAGAAGGGGCAACUGGAAUUCUCGGUGUAGCGGUGAAAUGCGUAGAUAUCGAGAGGAACACCUGCGGCGAAGGCNGGUUGCUGGGCUGACACUGACGCUGAAGCGCGAAAGCUAGGGGAGCGAACGGGAUUAGAUACCCCGGUAGUCCUAGCCCUAAACGAUGAAUGCUUG
RNAcentral lists this ribosomal RNA (758 nucleotides) under uncultured bacterium. RNAcentral's name for it is "bacterial SSU rRNA". It matches the Rfam family "Bacterial small subunit ribosomal RNA", at positions 81 to 819 of the family's 1533-position model. The record is from RNAcentral.